This 189-nucleotide microRNA precursor is filed under the name Oryza barthii. RNAcentral describes it as "MIR812 microRNA precursor family". It matches the Rfam family "MIR812 microRNA precursor family". The record is from Rfam by way of RNAcentral. Lineage: Eukaryota; Viridiplantae; Streptophyta; Magnoliopsida; Poales; Poaceae.
AAUAAGUACAGUUGUGGGGAUCUGUGUCCAACGUUUGACCGUCCGUCUUAUUUAAAAAAUUUAUAAAAAAAUAAAAAAAAUAGUCACACAUAAAGUAUUAUUAAUGUGUUAUCAUCUAAUAACAAUAAGAAUACUAAUUAUAAAAAAUUUUCAAAUAAGAUAAAUGGUUAAACGUUAAAUAUAAACAGU